This 1576-nucleotide ribosomal RNA is filed under the name Salmonella enterica. Its description in RNAcentral is "bacterial LSU rRNA". It matches the Rfam family "Bacterial large subunit ribosomal RNA", at positions 1253 to 2812 of the family's 2925-position model. The record is from RNAcentral. Lineage: Bacteria; Pseudomonadati; Pseudomonadota; Gammaproteobacteria; Enterobacterales; Enterobacteriaceae.
AAGGUGGCCUGUGAGGGUUGCUGGAGGUAUCAGAAGUGCGAAUGCUGACAUAAGUAACGAUAAAGCGGGUGAAAAGCCCGCUCGCCGGAAGACCAAGGGUUCCUGUCCAACGUUAAUCGGGGCAGGGUGAGUCGACCCCUAAGGCGAGGCCGAAAGGCGUAGUCGAUGGGAAACGGGUUAAUAUUCCCGUACUUGGUGUUACUGCGAAGGGGGGACGGAGAAGGCUAUGUUGGCCGGGCGACGGUUGUCCCGGUUUAAGCGUGUAGGUGUGUGUUCCAGGUAAAUCCGGUUCACUUUAACACUGAGGCGUGACGACGAGGCACUACGGUGCUGAAGCAACAAAUGCCCUGCUUCCAGGAAAAGCCUCUAAGCAUCAGGUAACAUCAAAUCGUACCCCAAACCGACACAGGUGGUCAGGUAGAGAAUACCAAGGCGCUUGAGAGAACUCGGGUGAAGGAACUAGGCAAAAUGGUGCCGUAACUUCGGGAGAAGGCACGCUGACACGUAGGUGAAGUGAUUUACUCACGGAGCUGAAGUCAGUCGAAGAUACCAGCUGGCUGCAACUGUUUAUUAAAAACACAGCACUGUGCAAACACGAAAGUGGACGUAUACGGUGUGACGCCUGCCCGGUGCCGGAAGGUUAAUUGAUGGGGUCAGCGCAAGCGAAGCUCCUGAUCGAAGCCCCGGUAAACGGCGGCCGUAACUAUAACGGUCCUAAGGUAGCGAAAUUCCUUGUCGGGUAAGUUCCGACCUGCACGAAUGGCGUAAUGAUGGCCAGGCUGUCUCCACCCGAGACUCAGUGAAAUUGAACUCGCUGUGAAGAUGCAGUGUACCCGCGGCAAGACGGAAAGACCCCGUGAACCUUUACUAUAGCUUGACACUGAACAUUGAGCCUUGAUGUGUAGGAUAGGUGGGAGGCUUUGAAGUGUGGACGCCAGUCUGCAUGGAGCCGACCUUGAAAUACCACCCUUUAAUGUUUGAUGUUCUAACGUGGACCCGUGAUCCGGGUUGCGGACAGUGUCUGGUGGGUAGUUUGACUGGGGCGGUCUCCUCCUAAAGAGUAACGGAGGAGCACGAAGGUUGGCUAAUCCUGGUCGGACAUCAGGAGGUUAGUGCAAUGGCAUAAGCCAGCUUGACUGCGAGCGUGACGGCGCGAGCAGGUGCGAAAGCAGGUCAUAGUGAUCCGGUGGUUCUGAAUGGAAGGGCCAUCGCUCAACGGAUAAAAGGUACUCCGGGGAUAACAGGCUGAUACCGCCCAAGAGUUCAUAUCGACGGCGGUGUUUGGCACCUCGAUGUCGGCUCAUCACAUCCUGGGGCUGAAGUAGGUCCCAAGGGUAUGGCUGUUCGCCAUUUAAAGUGGUACGCGAGCUGGGUUUAGAACGUCGUGAGACAGUUCGGUCCCUAUCUGCCGUGGGCGCUGGAGAACUGAGGGGGGCUGCUCCUAGUACGAGAGGACCGGAGUGGACGCAUCACUGGUGUUCGGGUUGUCAUGCCAAUGGCACUGCCCGGUAGCUAAAUGCGGAAGAGAUAAGUGCUGAAAGCAUCUAAGCACGAAACUUGCCCCGAGAUGAGUUCU